This 124-nucleotide small nucleolar RNA is filed under the name Kryptolebias marmoratus (mangrove rivulus). Its description in RNAcentral is "Small nucleolar RNA SNORA32 (ENSKMAG00000009564.1)". Lineage: Eukaryota; Metazoa; Chordata; Actinopteri; Cyprinodontiformes; Rivulidae. The record is from RNAcentral.
UGGUCACAUACCAAGGCUUUCAGGAUCCUCCGUUCCUGACUCGCUGUGGACUUGACCAUAAAACAAAAACCAUCCCAGUGGGUCUCUGACGGCGCGGGCCUCUGCAGACUCACUGGGAACACGA